This 618-nucleotide long non-coding RNA is filed under the name Apteryx owenii (little spotted kiwi). RNAcentral's name for it is "lncRNA (ENSAOWG00000000093.1)". Lineage: Eukaryota; Metazoa; Chordata; Aves; Apterygiformes; Apterygidae. The record is from RNAcentral.
CCGGGGGCAGAGCCCAGCUGCGGGAUGCCGUGCAACGCAGGAAGCCUCGCUGGGCGCGGGGUCUGGGGCUGCCCUGCCGUGCUGAGCGAUGCCAAGGUGCAUCACGGCGCCCUGCGCGCCGCGACACCCCCGGAGCCUUUGGCUCCUCUGGGGAUUCCCCAGUGAUUUUCUGGCCUUUCUGUCACCACAAACCUCUGGGAUUAUCUCCUGAGCUCGUACCUUUCACAUCCCUGCGGCUUCUUAACACGACUGGUUUGCACUCUGCUGAGUUUCCCCAGCAGGGCUGGGCUCCUCCAAGGUCCAGGUGCUGCUGAUGAAGUUACCUGCAUUGCAACUCCCCCGCCAAUGUUUCCUGUGGGCUUUGAUGCUGAAAAGGAGAGAGAGCAGCUCCUGAAAGAUCAGGGUGCAGAAUCCCCUAAAGCAGAGCUGUCUCUAUGGAACAGGCUCAUCACCAUGAACAGACAUCGAUGGACUUCAGAUAAGACCCCGCUGCGACUGUGUUUGUUUAACAUGGGUAAUUGGUCACCCAGCAGCACCGGAGGAAUCUGUGUGUGCAGUUACCUUGCUGUCUCUAGCAAUCCCAUUGCAAUAGUUCCUGGAUGGUCCAAAGCAGAAYGA